GCUUCGACUAAGGUUCGACUCGAGCGCCAGCGAGAGAGCGUUGCCGCAGGCAACGACCCGUAGGGCGAAGCGCGCAGCGCUGAGUAAUCCUUCCCCCACCACCA
RNAcentral lists this small RNA (104 nucleotides) under Escherichia coli. RNAcentral describes it as "partial RtT sRNA". It matches the Rfam family "RtT RNA", at positions 29 to 130 of the family's 130-position model. Rfam says of the family: This family represents a bacterial cis-regulatory element known as RtT RNA. The record is from RNAcentral. Lineage: Bacteria; Pseudomonadati; Pseudomonadota; Gammaproteobacteria; Enterobacterales; Enterobacteriaceae.